GGCUGGUCGGAUGGGAGUG
RNAcentral lists this microRNA (19 nucleotides) under Pan troglodytes (chimpanzee). Its description in RNAcentral is "ptr-miR-6131". Lineage: Eukaryota; Metazoa; Chordata; Mammalia; Primates; Hominidae. The record is from miRBase by way of RNAcentral.